RNAcentral lists this long non-coding RNA (2549 nucleotides) under Lynx pardinus (Iberian lynx). Lineage: Eukaryota; Metazoa; Chordata; Mammalia; Carnivora; Felidae. The record is from RNAcentral.
GAAAACAGGACAUCACAACGAUAACUGAACCCCAUGUUUACCGCAGCAUUAUUUACAAUAGCUAAGAUACGGCAACAACCGAAGUGUCCACGGAUGGAUCCACGGAUAAAAAAGAUGUAUAUAAUGGAAUCUUUUUUGGCGACGAGAAAGAGGGAAACCUUGCCAUUGUGUGACAUCGUGGAUGGACAUUGACGACAUUGUUCUCAGGGAGGUAAGUCCCAGACAGAGGAAGGCAGACACUGUAAGGGCUCGCCUAUUUGUGGAAUCCAAAAACGCUCAACUUGUAGAAACAGAGUAGAAUGGUCGUCACCAGGGCCUGGGGGGCAGGGAGGUUGGAAAGAAUGUUGGUCAAAAGACACACACUUGCAUUUAGAUGAUGGGUUAAGUUCUGAGGACCUGAUGCAUAGCCUGGUGACUGCAGUUAAAACUGCUCACAUACUUAAAAGAUGUUAAGACAGUCGAUCUUAAAUGUUCCCACCACAAAAAAGAAAUGAUAAUUCUGUGACGUGACAAAGAUGUUAAUAGACACUAUAGAGGGGAUCAUAUUGCAACGGGUAAGUGUAUCACAUCAACAUGUACACCUUAAAUUUCCACAACAUUGUACGUCAAGUACAUCUCAAUUUUUUCGAAUGAUCACAGUGUCGAAAAAGACUUGAAAAUGACGUAGGAGUUGUUUUGCUCAGAGACCUAGGGAGUGUCCACACACCCUUGAAAAUGCACCUGAGACUUUAGGGGCCGUGAGAAUCCCGAGGUCUAUCCGUGGAGACCUCCGGGGAUCUCUGGACCCCAGUUUCCUGAUCUGAAAUUUGUAGCGAUGAAAAUAUAUCCAAGAUACUUUGUUACGUGAAAAUAAAAUACGCGGCAGACAGUAUGUAGAGCUCAAAACCCAUUUUUCCUUUCACUGAUGUGUACCUAACAUUAUCUGCAUUAUCUGAGAGGCGUGAGUUUGAGGGUUUCUUUUACCUUGCAUUUCAGACACUUCUGAACUCUUCGAGGUAUUUGAAAAAGCACAUGUAUUACUUUUGUCAUCAUAGUUUCCAAACAAAUUUCUAAAAAAGGAAUGAUAAUAAAUACAUUUCCGACAAACCAAGGGUCUGACCCUGUCUCGCAUCUCCGGGGGCAGAGGGCAGCCCGACCACCUACCGGACGCCCGUCCAUGGUGAUUCCCCAUCUCUGUCCGCUCGCGGCUCUUGGCCGGCUCUGUCAUGGCUACUCUUUCGCCAACUGCCUCAAGGGCUGACGCGGCCAAGGGCAUUUGAAUGUCAGGUGCGUCCCCGCUUUACUGAGCUGGAUGCCGCCGGCACACACGCAGUCCCGUCCUGACACCAGAAGGCUGAAUUUCUCAGCAACAAAAGCCCCAGCCUGGUCUUGAAGACUUAUUUACUCAUUCAUUAUUUUUUAAUUCAGACAUUCAUUCAGCAAAUAUUUUUAGAGCACCUCAUGUGUAGGGGUUCUGUAGGAACAGAGAAAUUCGCCAUAAAAAUUAAAUAGGAAAAUGCAUCCGGCUGGAAAUUAAGACAGCGUGUUCCCAACCGCUAACAGCCGCUCAGCUAAGAAUUAGCACAUGACAAAGGGUGUCUCUCGCUAGACGUAAAAGAAAUAAAUGCCCCUUAAAAUAACAAUGAAUGGACAUCUUCACUUGUCAGUGAUUAAAAUAAAAUGAUAAAACUCAUUGCUGCGGAAGAGAUGGUAAUCGAGGUCAUUGCUAGCCACCGUGGGAGACCAAGCAUCAACACGGGUGUGGCAUUUAGUGACAUGUGUAGCGACAUAUUGAUUUGUGUUUUUGCUGCUGAGUUUUUCCUUUCUCUUUCAAAGAAAAUAGUCAGGCUGUAUUGGUGAUCCAUGGCUGCAUAACGAACAUCACCAACUUAGUAGCAGAAGACAACACCCAUUUAAUAGUUCAAGGCUCUACAGGUCAGGAGCUCAGGAGGGGCUCAGCUGGGUUCUCUGCCCAGGGUCUUAUCAGAUGGGAAGUGGGGGUGGCUGCCAGUGCGUGUUCCCUUCUGGUGGCUCUGGGGGCAAGCCCAUUUGCAAGCUGAUUCGGGUCAGGGACAAAACUCAAUUCCUUGGGGUUGUAGGACUGAAGUCAUCAGCCAGCGACCAUUCUUGGCUCCUAGAGGCUGCCUGCAACCCUUGUCAUGUGCUCUCCCUCAUCUCCAAAGCCAGCCUCUGUUCCCCUCACAUCACAUCCCUCUUGUGCUCUUUCUAGAUACAUCCUAAUCUCCUGGAAGGACUCAUCUGAUCGGGUCAGGCCCAGUUGUUGAAAAAACAUAAAAUAAUAGCGAGCAAAUGAAAUGACAAAUAGGACAAAAGACUGAAUUUUGGAAUGAUAUUUGCACCGUACUCUUUGGCAGAAGAUAACUGAUAGACCGACCUGCCUAGAAGUGAGACGAAGGUAGCCUGGUCAAACUCUGGUCCUAAACACAAAACCAAGAUGGCACAGAAGAAUCGUUCGUAACGUGUGGAACGGUGGUUGCUUCUCUAUCCCUCGGCCUGUCUCUCGAAAGUUAAUCUCAUUUGUGUCUGUCAGUUUUUCCCCACAUGCAAAC